CAUCAAAAUUCUGGAUUAGAUCUAUUUCACUGAUAAAAAAAAAUUAGACUAAUUAGGCUCGAUCUGAUCAAUCGGUGGACAUAUAAAUGAAAGAGCAAUCAAAGUUUGAUCUAUUUAACCUGACUUGACCAACAUAGGAAGGAGAGAGAUGCUCAAUCUAGAUCAGUUGGAUUUUUGGAUUAAAUCUACUUGAUUUUAGAUCCAAAUCAGGGGCAUCGAUCUAGACAGUUUGAGUUGGUC
Molecule: long non-coding RNA, 240 nt
Filed under: Elaeis guineensis (African oil palm)
Lineage: Eukaryota; Viridiplantae; Streptophyta; Magnoliopsida; Arecales; Arecaceae
Description: long non-coding RNA (EGUI_LNC017147)
Source: RNAcentral